UAAACCAUGCUGGAGAAGCAGGGCACAUGCUGGAUCAAUCAGCACCUGGAUCUGAGAUUUUACAUGUGCCCUGGCUCUCCCACUUGGAUCCUA
This is a non-coding RNA of Vitis vinifera (wine grape), 93 nucleotides long. NCBI's taxonomy places the organism in Eukaryota, Viridiplantae, Streptophyta, Magnoliopsida, Vitales, Vitaceae. The record is from RefSeq and is marked provisional.